Molecule: ribosomal RNA, 459 nt
Filed under: uncultured bacterium
Lineage: Bacteria
Description: bacterial SSU rRNA
Rfam family: Bacterial small subunit ribosomal RNA
Source: RNAcentral
GCACAAGCGGUGGAGCAUGUGGUUUAAUUCGACGCAACGCGCAGAACCUUACCAGCCCUUGACAUCCCGGUCGCGGACUCCAGAGACGGAGUCCUUCAGUUCGGCUGGACCGGAGACAGGUGCUGCAUGGCUGUCGUCAGCUCGUGUCGUGAGAUGUUGGGUUAAGUCCCGCAACGAGCGCAACCCCCGUCCUUAGUUGCUACCAUUUAGUUGAGCACUCUAAGGAGACUGCCGGUGAUAAGCCGCGAGGAAGGUGGGGAUGACGUCAAGUCCUCAUGGCCCUUACGGGCUGGGCUACACACGUGCUACAAUGGCGGUGACAAUGGGACGCUAAGGGGCAACCCUUCGCAAAUCUCAAAAAGCCGUCUCAGUUCGGAUUGGGCUCUGCAACUCGAGCCCAUGAAGUUGGAAUCGCUAGUAAUCGUGGAUCAGCAUGCCACGGUGAAUACGUUCCCGGGC